UCCUACGGGAGGCAGCAGUGGGGAAUAUUGCACAAUGGGGGAAACCCUGAUGCAGCAACGCCGCGUGAAGGAAGAAGGUCUUCGGAUUGUAAACUUCUGUCUUUGGUGAAGAUAAUGACGGUAGCCAAAGAGGAAGCUCCGGCUAACUACGUGCCAGCAGCCGCGGUAAA
RNAcentral lists this ribosomal RNA (170 nucleotides) under uncultured Eubacteriales bacterium. RNAcentral describes it as "uncultured Clostridiales bacterium partial 16S ribosomal RNA". It matches the Rfam family "Bacterial small subunit ribosomal RNA", at positions 337 to 524 of the family's 1533-position model. Lineage: Bacteria; Bacillati; Bacillota; Clostridia; Eubacteriales. The record is from RNAcentral.